This 429-nucleotide ribosomal RNA is filed under the name Actinomycetes bacterium. Its description in RNAcentral is "Actinobacteria bacterium partial 16S ribosomal RNA". It matches the Rfam family "Bacterial small subunit ribosomal RNA", at positions 355 to 776 of the family's 1533-position model. The record is from RNAcentral. Lineage: Bacteria; Bacillati; Actinomycetota; Actinomycetes.
UAGGGAAUCUUCCGCAAUGGGCGAAAGCCUGACGGAGCAACGCCGCGUGAGUGAAGAAGGUCUUCGGAUCGUAAAACUCUGUUAUUAGGGAAGAACAAAUGUGUAAGUAACUAUGCACGUCUUGACGGUACCUAAUUAGAAAGCCACGGCUAACUACGUGCCAGCAGCCGCGGUAAUACGUAGGUGGCAAGCGUUAUCCGGAAUUAUUGGGCGUAAAGCGCGCGUAGGCGGUUUGUUAAGACUGAUGUGAAAUCCCACGGCUCAACCGGGGAAAGGCAUUGGAGACUGGAAAACUUGAGUGCAGAAGAGGAGAGUGGAAUUCCACGUGUAGCAGUGAAAUGCGCAGGGAUAUGGAGGAACACCAGUGGCGAAGGCGACUUUCUGGUCUGUUACUGACGCUGAUGAGCGAAAGCGUGGGGAUCAAACAGG